This 298-nucleotide ribosomal RNA is filed under the name Escherichia coli. Its description in RNAcentral is "partial 23S ribosomal RNA". It matches the Rfam family "Bacterial large subunit ribosomal RNA", at positions 2343 to 2640 of the family's 2925-position model. Lineage: Bacteria; Pseudomonadati; Pseudomonadota; Gammaproteobacteria; Enterobacterales; Enterobacteriaceae. The record is from RNAcentral.
AGGUUAGUGCAAUGGCAUAAGCCAGCUUGACUGCGAGCGUGACGGCGCGAGCAGGUGCGAAAGCAGGUCAUAGUGAUCCGGUGGUUCUGAAUGGAAGGGCCAUCGCUCAACGGAUAAAAGGUACUCCGGGGAUAACAGGCUGAUACCGCCCAAGAGUUCAUAUCGACGGCGGUGUUUGGCACCUCGAUGUCGGCUCAUCACAUCCUGGGGCUGAAGUAGGUCCCAAGGGUAUGGCUGUUCGCCAUUUAAAGUGGUACGCGAGCUGGGUUUAGAACGUCGUGAGACAGUUCGGUCCCUA